Molecule: ribosomal RNA, 645 nt
Filed under: Salmonella enterica
Lineage: Bacteria; Pseudomonadati; Pseudomonadota; Gammaproteobacteria; Enterobacterales; Enterobacteriaceae
Description: partial 23S ribosomal RNA
Rfam family: Bacterial large subunit ribosomal RNA
Source: RNAcentral
GGUUAAGCGACUAAGCGUACACGGUGGAUGCCCUGGCAGUCAGAGGCGAUGAAGGGCGUGCUAAUCUGCGAUAAGCGCCGGUAAGGUGAUAUGAACCGUUAUAACCGGCGAUACCCGAAUGGGGAAACCCAGUGUGACUCGUCACACUAUCAUUAACUGAAUCCAUAGGUUAAUGAGGCGAACCGGGGGAACUGAAACAUCUAAGUACCCCGAGGAAAAGAAAUCAACCGAGAUUCCCCCAGUAGCGGCGAGCGAACGGGGAGGAGCCCAGAGCCUGAAUCAGCAUGUGUGUUAGUGGAAGCGUCUGGAAAGGCGCGCGAUACAGGGUGACAGCCCCGUACACAAAAGCGCACAUGCUGUGAGCUCGAUGAGUAGGGCGGGACACGUGGUAUCCUGUCUGAAUAUGGGGGGACCAUCCUCCAAGGCUAAAUACUCCUGACUGACCGAUAGUGAACCAGUACCGUGAGGGAAAGGCGAAAAGAACCCCGGCGAGGGGAGUGAAAAAGAACCUGAAACCGUGUACGUACAAGCAGUGGGAGCACCCUUUGGGGUGUGACUGCGUACCUUUUGUAUAAUGGGUCAGCGACUUAUAUUCUGUAGCAAGGUUAACCGUAUAGGGGAGCCGGAGGGAAACCGAGUCUUAAC